GACGAACGCUGGCGGCGUGCUUAACACAUGCAAGUCGAACGGAAAGGCCCUGCUUUUGUGGGGUGCUCGAGUGGCGAACGGGUGAGUAACACGUGAGUAACCUGCCCUUGACUUUGGGAUAACUUCAGGAAACUGGGGCUAAUACCGGAUAGGAGCUCCUGCUGCAUGGUGGGGGUUGGAAAGUUUCGGCGGUUGGGGAUGGACUCGCGGCUUAUCAGCUUGUUGGUGGGGUAGUGGCUUACCAAGGCUUUGACGGGUAGCCGGCCUGAGAGGGUGACCGGCCACAUUGGGACUGGGAUACGGCCCAGGCUCCUACGGGAGGCAGCAGUGGGGAAUAUUGCACAAUGGGCGGAAGCCUGAUGCAGCAACGCCGCGUGCGGGAUGACGGCCUUCGGGUUGUAAACCGCUUUCGCCUGUGACGAAGCGUGAGUGACGGUAAUGGGUAAAGAAGCACCGGCUAACUACGUGCCAGCAGCCGCGGUGAUACGUAGGGUGCGAGCGUUGUCCGGAUUUAUUGGGCGUAAAGGGCUCGUAGGUGGUUGAUCGCGUCGGAAGUGUAAUCUUGGGGCUUAACCCUGAGCGUGCUUUCGAUACGGGUUGACUUGAGGAAGGUAGGGGAGAAUGGAAUUCCUGGUGGAGCGGUGGAACGCGCAGAUAUCAGGAGGAACACCAGUGGCGAAGGCGGUUCUCUGGGCCUUUCCUGACGCUGAGGAGCGAAAGCGUGGGGAGCGAACAGGCUUAGAUACCCUGGUAGUCCACGCUGUAAACGGUGGGUACUAGGUGUGGGGUCCAUUCCACGGGUUCCGUGCCGUAGCUAGCGCUUUAAGUACCCCGCCUGGGGAGUACGGCCGCAAGGCUAAAACUCAAAGGAAUUGACGGGGCCCCGCACAAGCGGCGGAGCAUGCGGAUUAAUUCGAUGCAACGCGUAGAACCUUACCUGGGUUUGACAUGGAUCGGGAGUGCUCAGAGAUGGGUGUGCCUCUUUUGGGGUCGGUUCACAGGUGGUGCAUGGCUGUCGUCAGCUCGUGUCGUGAGAUGUUGGGUUAAGUCCCGCAACGAGCGCAACCCUUGUUCACUGUUGCCAGCACGUUAUGGUGGGGACUCAGUGGAGACCGCCGGGGUCAACUCGGAGGAAGGUGGGGAUGACGUCAAGUCAUCAUGCCCCUUAUGUCCAGGGCUUCACGCAUGCUACAAUGGCUGGUACAGAGAGUGGCGAGCCUGUGAGGGUGAGCGAAUCUCGGAAAGCCGGUCUCAGUUCGGAUUGGGGUCUGCAACUCGACCUCAUGAAGUCGGAGUCGCUAGUAAUCGCAGAUCAGCAACGCUGCAGUGAAUACGUUCCCGGG
This 1343-nucleotide ribosomal RNA is filed under the name uncultured bacterium. RNAcentral's name for it is "16S ribosomal RNA". It matches the Rfam family "Bacterial small subunit ribosomal RNA", at positions 28 to 1378 of the family's 1533-position model. The record is from RNAcentral.